RNAcentral lists this unclassified non-coding RNA (375 nucleotides) under Hevea brasiliensis (rubber tree). The record is from RNAcentral. Lineage: Eukaryota; Viridiplantae; Streptophyta; Magnoliopsida; Malpighiales; Euphorbiaceae.
GAUCCUUCAAAUAUGGUGAAAUCACUGUGACUGAUGUCUUUGUCCUUCAUAACAGGCCUGCAGAGCUAAUAGAAGGGAAAUGGCGCACUACUCUCAGUGGUAUUUCAUACUUAGCGCCUUCAACACCUCUAAAACUUGCUGAGCAAUUUAACAUCCCAGGCGUCUUCAAGCUUGACUUCCCCAAUAAAAUGAUGAACAGGCCGGCAAAAGUUGAUACGUCAGUAAUUAAUGGUACUUACAAAGCAUUCGUGGAAAUCAUAUUCCAAAACAAUGACACAACUGUUCAGAGCUAUCACCUUGAUGGCUACGCCUUUUUUGUUGUCGGCAUGGACUACGGGCUAUGGACGGAGAAUAGUAGAAGCACCUACAACAAAU